RNAcentral lists this ribosomal RNA (225 nucleotides) under uncultured bacterium. RNAcentral's name for it is "partial 16S ribosomal RNA". It matches the Rfam family "Bacterial small subunit ribosomal RNA", at positions 111 to 334 of the family's 1533-position model. The record is from RNAcentral.
UAACGCGUGAGGAACCUGCCUCAAAGAGGGGGACAACAGUUGGAAACGACUGCUAAUGCCGCAUAAGCCCACAGCUCGGCAUCGAGCAGAGGGAAAAGGAGUGAUCCGCUUUGAGAUGGCCUCGCGUCCGAUUAGCUAGUUGGUGAGGUAAUGGCCCACCAAGGCGACGAUCGGUAGCCGGACUGAGAGGUUGAACGGCCACAUUGGGACUGAGACACGGCCCAG